Molecule: ribosomal RNA, 127 nt
Filed under: Pogona vitticeps (central bearded dragon)
Lineage: Eukaryota; Metazoa; Chordata; Lepidosauria; Squamata; Agamidae
Source: RNAcentral
GCCUAUAGCCAUAGCACCCUGAACAUGCUUGAUCUACUCUGAUCAUAGAAGCUAAGCGGGAUGGGGCCUGGUUAUAGUACAGUACCUGGAUGGGAAACCACCAGGCAAGACUAGGGACCUCCAGGUA